RNAcentral lists this ribosomal RNA (253 nucleotides) under uncultured bacterium. Its description in RNAcentral is "partial 16S ribosomal RNA". It matches the Rfam family "Bacterial small subunit ribosomal RNA", at positions 524 to 776 of the family's 1533-position model. The record is from RNAcentral.
UACGUAGGGUGCGAGCGUUGUCCGGAAUUAUUGGGCGUAAAGAGCUCGUAGGCGGUUUGUUGCGUCGGCCGUGAAAACUCAGGGCUUAACUCUGAGCCUGCGGUCGAUACGGGCAGACUUGAGUUCGGUAGGGGAGACUGGAAUUCCUGGUGUAGCGGUGAAAUGCGCAGAUAUCAGGAGGAACACCGGUGGCGAAGGCGGAUCUCUGGGCCUUACCUGACGCUCAGGUGCGAAAGCUAGGGGAGCGAACAGG